This 460-nucleotide ribosomal RNA is filed under the name uncultured bacterium. Its description in RNAcentral is "SSU rRNA". It matches the Rfam family "Bacterial small subunit ribosomal RNA", at positions 26 to 518 of the family's 1533-position model. The record is from RNAcentral.
AGAAUCAACGCUGGCGGCGUGCCUAACACAUGCAAGUCGAACGAGAAAGUGGAGCAAUCCAUGAGUAAAGUGGCGCACGGGUGAGUAACACGUGACUAACCUACCCUUGAGUGGGGGAUAACCUAGGGAAACCUGGGCUAAUACCGCAUAAUACCUUCGGGUCAAAGGAGCAAUUCGCUUAAGGAGGGGGUCGCGGCCGAUUAGUUAGUUGGCGGGGUAAUGGCCCACCAAGACUGUGAUCGGUAUCCGGCCUGAGAGGGCGCACGGACACACUGGAACUGAAACACGGUCCAGACUCCUACGGGAGGCAGCAGUGGGGAAUUUUGCGCAAUGGGGGAAACCCUGACGCAGCAACGCCGCGUGGAGGAUGAAGUCCCUUGGGGUGUAAACUCCUUUCGAUCGGGAAGAUAAUGACGGUACCGAUAUAAGAAGCCCCGGCUAACUUCGUGCCAGCAGCCGC